GAUGAACGCUGGCGGCGUGCCUAAUACAUGCAAGUCGAGCGAACGGACGAGAAGCUUGCUUCUCUGAUGUUAGCGGCGGACGGGUGAGUAACACGUGGAUAACCUACCUAUAAGACUGGGAUAACUUCGGGAAACCGGAGCUAAUACCGGAUAAUAUUUUGAACCGCAUGGUUCAAAAGUGAAAGACGGUCUUGCUGUCACUUAUAGAUGGAUCCGCGCUGCAUUAGCUAGUUGGUAAGGUAACGGCUUACCAAGGCAACGAUGCAUAGCCGACCUGAGAGGGUGAUCGGCCACACUGGAACUGAGACACGGUCCAGACUCCUACGGGAGGCAGCAGUAGGGAAUCUUCCGCAAUGGGCGAAAGCCUGACGGAGCAACGCCGCGUGAGUGAUGAAGGUCUUCGGAUCGUAAAACUCUGUUAUUAGGGAAGAACAUAUGUGUAAGUAACUGUGCACAUCUUGACGGUACCUAAUCAGAAAGCCACGGCUAACUACGUGCCAGCAGCCGCGGUAAUACGUAGGUGGCAAGCGUUAUCCGGAAUUAUUGGGCGUAAAGCGCGCGUAGGCGGUUCUUUAAGUCUGAUGUGAAAGCCCACGGCUCAACCGUGGAGGGUCAUUGGAAACUGGAAAACUUGAGUGCAGAAGAGGAAAGUGGAAUUCCAUGUGUAGCGGUGAAAUGCGCAGAGAUAUGGAGGAACACCAGUGGCGAAGGCGACUUUCUGGUCUGUAACUGACGCUGAUGUGCGAAAGCGUGGGGAUCAAACAGGAUUAGAUACCCUGGUAGUCCACGCCGUAAACGAUGAGUGCUAAGUGUUAGGGGGUUUCCGCCCCUUAGUGCUGCAGCUAACGCAUUAAGCACUCCGCCUGGGGAGUACGACCGCAAGGUUGAAACUCAAAGGAAUUGACGGGGACCCGCACAAGCGGUGGAGCAUGUGGUUUAAUUCGAAGCAACGCGAAGAACCUUACCAAAUCUUGACAUCCUUUGACAACUCUAGAGAUAGAGCCUUCCCCUUCGGGGGACAAAGUGACAGGUGGUGCAUGGUUGUCGUCAGCUCGUGUCGUGAGAUGUUGGGUUAAGUCCCGCAACGAGCGCAACCCUUAAGCUUAGUUGCCAUCAUUAAGUUGGGCACUCUAAGUUGACUGCCGGUGACAAACCGGAGGAAGGUGGGGAUGACGCCAAAUCAUCAUGCCCCUUAUGAUUUGGGCUACACACGUGCUACAAUGGACAAUACAAAGGGCAGCGAAACCGCGAGGUCAAGCAAAUCCCAUAAAGUUGUUCUCAGUUCGGAUUGCAGUCUGCAACUCGACUACAUGAAGCUGGAAUCGCUAGUAAUCGUAGAUCAGCAUGCUACGGUGAAUACGUUCCCGGGUCU
RNAcentral lists this ribosomal RNA (1372 nucleotides) under uncultured bacterium. Its description in RNAcentral is "bacterial SSU rRNA". It matches the Rfam family "Bacterial small subunit ribosomal RNA", at positions 28 to 1381 of the family's 1533-position model. The record is from RNAcentral.